UGCCUCCUAAACUUGCUCAUUUUCAAUCCUGGUCAACAGUACCCAAAUUAAAUACUGGUUAGGGACCUUAUCAGUUAGAGAUGAGNGACUUGGUCAUCUUUGCUAGAGCUCUUUCACUAAAGCAUCUUAUGUGGUAAGCUGGUGAUGAGACUGGGCAACAGAAAUCAUAGGUCCUUCAGAUUCCUGAUCCUGAAUUCAUCCUGCUAGAGCAAUAGGGUAUGCAGGUAAGAUCCAAAAGGACAGUACUGUGCCUUAGGCAGGAGAUCCAUUCAGUGAACACGAUUUUCAGGAANGCAAAAGCACCUGAAGCCUGAUAGAAGCAAAAAGUCAUGGGGCCUGAGAAGAUUUUUUAAAACGGAAACUAUUGAAGAAUUCACAGAAUCAAGGGGAAAUACAUUCGAGAAGGCUAUAAAUAGCAUCAAGUCCUCAGGGACCCUGAUGGAAUGAGCCAAUCUGGUUCCGUAGAUCUACCAAAAAGAAAGGGCUAACGAUAGAGUAUCCUGAAGACCGGGGCGGGGGAGGAGAGACAUGAACACGACAGAACCAGAAAGUCGUCGAGGGGCAGCGCGGAACCGUCCGCGGAGUCGGCCAGGUAAAGGACUAAUGUGAAGGCGAAUCUACCAAACGAAAUCAAGGAUGCAGCCAGCUUCAGCGUUCAACUUUCCCGUGCAAAAAGAGACUCAAGCAUGUACCUCAUGGGCCGAGGAAAAGUGUCUGGGAAAACUGCCGGAGGCAGGAGGGGAACAUAUACCCCGCCCUUCACCCGAAGGUCCCAGGGCAGGACGCAACAAGAAAAAUCUAAAANAUAUAAAAUAUGCAAGCCCUUCUAACUUCAGCGUCGUAAGACCUGGCAGUUUGGGAGCACACGACGCGCAAAACCAAAACCCUUUGCAGCAGCAAUGCACAAUCUAUUUCUUAAAGAAGCGAACCUUAUUAGACUUGAUAAAUCAAUUAUUCUGUUUCAAAAGGUCAAAGCAAAGCCNGUUUGGGAUCUUCUCCUAAAGCAAGACGGCCUUCAGCUAUUCUGCCUUGCUGAAGAACCUUAGGAUCGCUUUGAAGAUCGAUGUUUGCUCACAAGUCCUAUUAUGAGAAUUUCUCACACCCAAGCCUACAUGCAUAGAUAAUUUGCAUCCUAGCAUUUUUUUUAAAAACCCAGCCACUGGCGGAUCGGAUGUACAUUUGCUAUAAAAUCUGCAUUACAGGACUGAUACUGCAAGAGAAACAAAAUCACAUCACAGACGUUGGGAAAAACCCUGCCUUCUGUUCGAACACGCGCUCUUGAAUUCUGACAAUAGAACUGGAGGCUUUCUGAUGCAUUACUGAAUUACUUCGCAAGUAAUUCCCGAUAGAGUUUAUGAGGUUUAUUUCCCGCCUCAGUGCGCUUAGGAUCGAGGCGAAGGAGAAGCUCGUGGCGGGAAAAACGGCUGAAUCUCCUCGCAGCAUCUUCAUUCAGCAUCAGCCUGCACCGCGAAGAGCGGUAUAAAGAGCCGUAGAAGACACAAAGGGAGCCGUUAGCCUGCCCUGCCCAUCCCUACGAGGUGUCCACUGUCCCGCGCCGUACAGAAAAGGAAAAGUCUGCCCCCAAGUGGAGAACUCCAGGAUCACUCUCGAUUCCGAGUCAGCCAUNUUUUGCAGAUGUCUACUCUCUCCAUUUGUUCAUCACUUCGAAGCCGCAGCAGACAGCAUACGCCUUUUUUGAUGCGUAGUGGAUUUUUGGCUCCUUCCAAAAAGGGCUGUGUCCUUCCUGCCUACAACCAAAAUUACGCAAGACUUCCUUAAAUCAGCCUUUUUUUGUUACGUUUGAAUGCAUGCACACAGGAGUGAGAAUACAUGCACACACACACGCAUAAGUAUUAAGUUACGCCCAUUCAUUGUCAAAUCGGGGCAAGCUGCGGGUUGCCUUCAAACACAUUCUUCACACGUGCAAUGAGGUCACGAUUGUUCAGAUCCUAGAAGUGCAACAACGUAUUCAUUCGAUUGUCUGUGAGGUUGGGAAAACACAAUUCNGCAGACGGAGCUCUCAAUAGUUUGCACUAUGGUGGCAAUUUCUGNAUCGAAAAUUAAGUAGAGAACAAAAGAAAUACAUUUAUGUUAAACCUGCAAAUUCUCAUCUACAUUGAGAAAUGCACAUUGAAUACGGAAGUGGUCUUUUGAAAACAAACACAAAAAUCCUACUGAAGUAAAGUGUAAUUACCCAAUCUCAGCAUUCUGAUGGGUUGAUGAAAUAGAGCGUAUUUCCCACUAAAGGACCAUUCUCUAAUAAAGCAGGACGCUUUCUCCUCCCUUCCUCA
This 2291-nucleotide long non-coding RNA is filed under the name Salvator merianae (Argentine black and white tegu). RNAcentral describes it as "lncRNA (ENSSMRG00000011939.1)". Lineage: Eukaryota; Metazoa; Chordata; Lepidosauria; Squamata; Teiidae. The record is from RNAcentral.